This 500-nucleotide ribosomal RNA is filed under the name uncultured bacterium. Its description in RNAcentral is "bacterial SSU rRNA". It matches the Rfam family "Bacterial small subunit ribosomal RNA", at positions 29 to 523 of the family's 1533-position model. The record is from RNAcentral.
AACGAACGCUGGCGGCGCGCCUAAUACAUGCAAGUCGAGCGAGAAGGUGUAGCAAUACACUUGUAAAGCGGCGAACGGGUGAGGAAUGCAUGGGUAACCUACCCUCGAGUGGGGAAUAACUAGCCGAAAGGUUAGCUAAUACCGCAUACGUUUCCGGAACUUCGGUUUCGGAAAGAAAGCAAUACCGUGGGUAUUGCGCUCCUGGAUGGGCUCAUGUCCUAUCAGCUUGUUGGUGAGGUAACGGCUCACCAAGGCUUCGACGGGUAGCUGGUCUGAGAGGACGAUCAGCCACACUGGCACUGCGACACGGGCCAGACUCCUACGGGAGGCAGCAGUAAGGAAUAUUGCGCAAUGGACGAAAGUCUGACGCAGCGACGCCGCGUGGGGGAUGAAGGUCUUCGGAUUGUAAACCCCUUCGGGAGGGAAGAUGGAGUGGGUAACCACUUGGACGGUACCUCCAGAAGCAGCCACGGCUAACUUCGUGCCAGCAGCCGCGGUAA